CCUACGGGGGGCUGCAGUGGGGAAUAUUGGACAAUGGGGGGAACCCUGAUCCAGCCAUGCCGCGUGUGUGAAGAAGGCCCUCGGGUUGUAAAGCACUUUCAGUGAGGAAGAACGCCUGGUGGUUAAUACCCAUCAGGAAAGACAUCACUCACAGAAGAAGCACCGGCUACACUCCGUGCCAGCAGCCGCGGUAAUACGGAGGGUGCGAGCGUUAAUCGGAAUUACUGGGCGUAAAGCGCGCGUAGGUGGCUUGAUAAGCCGGUUGUGAAAGCCCCGGGCGCAACCUGGGAACGGCAUCCGGAACUGUCAAGCUAGAGUGCAGGAGAGGAAGGUAGAAUUCCCGGUGUAGCGGUGAAAUGCGUAGAGAUCGGGAGGAAUACCAGUGGCGAAGGCGGCCUUCUGGACUGACACUGACACUGAGGUGCGAAAGCGUGGGUAGCAAACAGGAUUAGAUACCCUUGUAGUC
RNAcentral lists this ribosomal RNA (466 nucleotides) under Vreelandella stevensii. RNAcentral's name for it is "partial 16S ribosomal RNA". It matches the Rfam family "Bacterial small subunit ribosomal RNA", at positions 338 to 795 of the family's 1533-position model. The record is from RNAcentral. Lineage: Bacteria; Pseudomonadati; Pseudomonadota; Gammaproteobacteria; Oceanospirillales; Halomonadaceae.